CCAGAGGGAACCUUUGUCUUCAUUAUACUGGCUAGUAAGCAUGCCAGACUUUUGCUUCUCUGUGCUGCUUGCUAUACCAACAUCUUGGAAAAAAAUAAUCUAGAACAAAGACAGUCCGUGCCUCUGCUUGCAAGAUGUACAGAAAUGCAAGAAAUCUACAGAACAUUAUUUCAACAGAAAGUUUCAAAAAAUAUAGGUUAUUUUGCAGUUGUGGCUCAAAGUGUGAAUUUGCCCUUUGUGUCACAGUCUAAAUUUAAGUGGAAACUAGAUGAGAUUUCCUUCAAAUUUCCUGCAGGCAUACAUAUCUGUGUAGCAAGAUGUAACAGUUAGCUUAAUUAUAAACAUUUGGAAGAUUAUCUGUAGUCUUACCCAAAUCACUAUGGUAUACAAUCAGAAGCAAUGGCUGAAGGUCAGCACACUCAGAUUUUAAGCCUCAUGCUGUCCUUAACUGACAACAGGACUCACAACAAAUCAUAUAACUUACUUGGUCCUCAGUUUCUGUAUCUCUUCAAAUGUGUGAUUACUUUCUAAUUUUUCUCCUAGAUAAUUUUCUUUUUGUUUGUUUCAAGUCCUGGAUGUGGCAUCUAAACUCCUAGAUAAUUUUCUAUUUUUUUUUUUUUUUACUACUAAAAGUCCUUGAAUCUAUGAAGCUACAUUUCAAAGUGGAAAAAAUGACUCAAAGAGAGUUUUAAGGAGCAGAUUAAAUGGCCAGUGAUUCAAUAUCAGACAAAAUGUAAUGUAGCUGUCUUCGUUUUCAAUUCCCUUUUCUUUUUCCACUAGAAAACACAGACAUUGGAAGACGUAUGAGACUACGGAAACUAAUUUUCUCAAGGUCAACAAAUAGAGUUGGAAAAUAACGAAGGAACAAAGAAAUGCUGACAGAAAAUGAAUUUCAUACUCCAGUAGUGUUACCAAACUACAUUUCCCCAUCAUGGUAGCCUAAGCCAGGAAGUGGAGAAAAGAGAAGGAUGUCAUUAAGUGGAAAAUAAUCAGGGCAUUUUGAGAGUGGUGUUUUUGGCCGUCGAGAUAAGUCAGUCAUUCUGAGGUAUGGAUGGACAGAGAGCAAGCACUGGCAAGAACAAGAAGAGACGAAUAGGUCGGGCUCUCUCUGUGGGUAUAAAACUCUGAGCAGUUCACUUCAAUUCAUUGGAUCUUGGUGGGCCUCAGACCCACUAAUUACUAUAGUUUCUUGAGGCCUCAAGGUUCAUUUUCUAAAGAAGAACUCCGGCCACGUUCAUUUAUAGCUAUCUUUUAAAAAUACCCAAAUCUGGCUGCGCAGUGGCUCACGCCUGUAAUCCCAGCACUUUGGGAGGGUGAGGUGGGAGGAU
RNAcentral lists this long non-coding RNA (1328 nucleotides) under Homo sapiens (human). Its description in RNAcentral is "HSALNT0321481". Lineage: Eukaryota; Metazoa; Chordata; Mammalia; Primates; Hominidae. The record is from RNAcentral.